This 253-nucleotide ribosomal RNA is filed under the name uncultured bacterium. RNAcentral's name for it is "partial 16S ribosomal RNA". It matches the Rfam family "Bacterial small subunit ribosomal RNA", at positions 524 to 776 of the family's 1533-position model. The record is from RNAcentral.
UACGAAGGGGGCUAGCGUUGUUCGGAAUUACUGGGCGUAAAGCGCGCGCAGGCGGUCCUUUAAGUUAGAGGUGAAAGCCCGGGGCUCAACUCCGGAAUUGCCUUUAAGACUGCAUCGCUAGAAUUGUGGAGAGGUAAGUGGAAUUCCGAGUGUAGAGGUGAAAUUCGUAGAUAUUCGGAAGAACACCAGUGGCGAAGGCGACUUACUGGACACAUAUUGACGCUGAGGUGCGAAAGCGUGGGGAGCAAACAGG